UGGGGAAUCUUGCACAAUGGGGGAAACCCUGAUGCAGCGACGCCGCGUGAACGAUGAAGCCCUUCGGGGUGUAAAGUUCUUUCGACAGGAACGAUAAUGACGGUACCUGGAGAAGAAGCUGCGGCUAACUACGUGCCAGCAGCCGCGGUAAUACGUAGGCAGCGAGCGUUGUUCGGAGUUACUGGGCGUAAAGAGUGCGUAGGCGGCGAGCCAAGUUUGGUGUGAAAUCUCCCGGCUUAGCCGGGAGGGUGCGCCGAAAACUGGUUGGCUGGAGUAUGGGAGAGGAAAGCGGAAUUCCUGGUGUAGCGGUGAAAUGCGUAGAUAUCAGGAGGAACACCUGCGGUGUAGACAGCUUUCUGGACCAAAACUGACGCUGAGGCACGAAAGCGUGGGUAGCAAACA
This 402-nucleotide ribosomal RNA is filed under the name uncultured bacterium. RNAcentral's name for it is "bacterial SSU rRNA". It matches the Rfam family "Bacterial small subunit ribosomal RNA", at positions 355 to 774 of the family's 1533-position model. The record is from RNAcentral.